This 253-nucleotide ribosomal RNA is filed under the name uncultured bacterium. RNAcentral's name for it is "partial 16S ribosomal RNA". It matches the Rfam family "Bacterial small subunit ribosomal RNA", at positions 524 to 776 of the family's 1533-position model. The record is from RNAcentral.
UACGAAGGGGGCUAGCGUUGCUCGGAAUCACUGGGCGUAAAGCGCACGUAGGCGGCUUGCUAAGUCAGGGGUGAAAUCCUGGAGCUCAACUCCAGAACUGCCCUUGAUACUGGCGGGCUUGAGUCCGGGAGAGGUGAGUGGAACUGCGAGUGUAGAGGUGAAAUUCGUAGAUAUUCGCAAGAACACCAGUGGCGAAGGCGGCUCACUGGCCCGGUACUGACGCUGAGGUGCGAAAGCGUGGGGAGCGAACGGG